This 77-nucleotide transfer RNA is filed under the name bacterium. Its description in RNAcentral is "tRNA-Arg". It matches the Rfam family "tRNA". Rfam says of the family: Transfer RNA (tRNA) molecules are approximately 80 nucleotides in length. Their secondary structure includes four short double-helical elements and three loops (D, anti-codon, and T loops). The record is from RNAcentral.
GACCCCGUAGCUCAAUCGGAUAGAGCACCGGCCUUCUAAGCCGGACGUUGUGGGUUCGAGUCCCCCCGGGGUCGCCU